This 222-nucleotide ribosomal RNA is filed under the name uncultured bacterium. RNAcentral describes it as "partial 16S ribosomal RNA". It matches the Rfam family "Bacterial small subunit ribosomal RNA", at positions 366 to 580 of the family's 1533-position model. The record is from RNAcentral.
GCGUCCAUGGGCGCAAGCCUGACGACGCAACGCCGCGUGGAGGAUGAAGGUCUUCGGAUUGUAAACUCCUGUUGCCAGGGACGAAUAGCUCCGACCUAAUACGUCGGAGAAUGACGGUACCUGGUGAGGAAGCCCCGGCUAACUCUGUGCCAGCAGCCGCGGUAAUACAGAGGGGGCAAGCGUUGUUCGGAAUUACUGGGCGUAAAGGGCGCGUAGGCGGCC